Non-coding RNA from Phrynosoma platyrhinos (Desert horned lizard), 72 nucleotides. Lineage: Eukaryota; Metazoa; Chordata; Lepidosauria; Squamata; Phrynosomatidae. The record is from the annotation of a GenBank genome assembly.
GGUAGCGUGGCGUAGUGGUUUGAGUGUUGGACUACGAUUCUGGAGGCCAGGGUUUGAUUCUUAGCUCAGCCA